This 483-nucleotide ribosomal RNA is filed under the name uncultured rumen archaeon. RNAcentral describes it as "bacterial SSU rRNA". It matches the Rfam family "Archaeal small subunit ribosomal RNA", at positions 138 to 621 of the family's 1478-position model. The record is from RNAcentral.
AACUGAGGAUAAUACUGGAUAGGCAAUUAUUUCUGCAAUGGUUUUUUGUUUAAAUGUUUUUUCGCCUAAGGAUGGGUCUGCGGCCGAUUAGGUAGUUGGUUAGGUAAAGGCUUACCAAGCCGUUGAUCGGUACGGGUUGUGAGAGCAAGAGCCCGGAGAUGGAACCUGAGACAAGGUUCCAGGCCCUACGGGGUGCAGCAGGCGCGAAACCUCCGCAAUGUGAGAAAUCGCGACGGGGGGAUCCCAAGUGCCAUUCUUAACGGGAUGGCUUUUCAUUAGUGUAAAGAGCUUUUGGAAUAAGGGCUGGGCAAGACCGGUGCCAGCCGCCGCGGUAACACCGGCAGCUCUAGUGGUAGCAGUUUUUAUUGGGCCUAAAGCGUCCGUAGCCGGUUUAAUAAGUCUCUGGUGAAAUCCUGUAGCUUAACUGUGGGAAUUGCUGGAGAUACUAUUAGACUUGAGACCGCGAGAGGUUAGAGGUACUCC